AUUGAACGCUGGCGGCAGGCCUAACACAUGCAAGUCGAGCGGAGCGGCGGACGGGUGAGUAAUGCCUAGGAAUCUGCCUGGUUGUGGGGGAUAACGUCCGGAAACGGGCGCUACUACCGCAUACUAUCAGAUGAGCCUAGGGCGGAUUAGCUAGUUGGUGGGGUAAAGGCCUACCAAGGCGACGAUCCGUAACUGGUCUGAGAGGAUGAUCAGUCACACGGGGACUGGGACACGGUCCAGAAUCCUACGGGAGGCAGCAGUGAGGAAUAUUGGACAAUGGGCGAUAGCCUGUACCGGCCAUGCCGCGUGUGUGAAGAAGGUCUUCGGAGUGUGGAGCACGUUAAGUUGUGAGGCGUUACCAACAGAAUAAGCACCGGCUAACUUCGUGCCAGCAGCCGCGGUAAUUC
This 407-nucleotide ribosomal RNA is filed under the name uncultured bacterium. Its description in RNAcentral is "partial 16S ribosomal RNA". It matches the Rfam family "Bacterial small subunit ribosomal RNA", at positions 30 to 526 of the family's 1533-position model. The record is from RNAcentral.